AAACCAGCACCUCAAGUGGUCAGGAGGAUUAUUGGGCCUAAAGCAUCCGUAGCCUGUUCUAUAAGUUUUCGGUUAAAUCCAUUAGCUCAACUAAUGGGCUGCCGAAAAUACUGUAGAACUAGGGAGUGGGAGAGGUAGACGGUAUUCGGUAGGAAGGGGUAAAAUCCUUUGAUCUAUUGAGGACCACCUGUGGCGAAGGCGGUCUACCAGAACACGUUCGACGGUGAGGGAUGAAAGCUGGGGGAGCAAACCGGAUUAGAAACCCUAGUAGUCC
Molecule: ribosomal RNA, 274 nt
Filed under: uncultured bacterium
Lineage: Bacteria
Description: partial 16S ribosomal RNA
Rfam family: Archaeal small subunit ribosomal RNA
Source: RNAcentral